UACGUAGGGGCUAGCGUUAUCCGGAUUUACUGGGCGUAAAGGGUGCGUAGGCGGUCUUUCAAGUCAGGAGUGAAAGGCUACGGCUCAACCGUAGUAAGCUCUUGAAACUGUAAGACUUGAGUGCAGGAGAGGUAAGUGGAAUUCCUAGUGUAGCGGUGAAAUGCGUAGAUAUUAGGAGGAACACCAGUGGCGAAGGCGACUUACUGGACGGUUAAUGACGCUGAGGCUCGAAAGCGUGGGGAGCAAACAGGAUUAGAUACCCCGGUAGUCCCUGAGCGGGCU
Molecule: ribosomal RNA, 282 nt
Filed under: uncultured prokaryote
Description: partial 16S ribosomal RNA
Rfam family: Bacterial small subunit ribosomal RNA
Source: RNAcentral